GGGAAGGUGGCUCAGUGGUAGAGUGCUUGCCUUGCAUGCACGAGGCCCUGGGUUUG
RNAcentral lists this transfer RNA (56 nucleotides) under Dipodomys ordii (Ord's kangaroo rat). It matches the Rfam family "tRNA", at positions 1 to 55 of the family's 71-position model. From Rfam's summary of the family: Transfer RNA (tRNA) molecules are approximately 80 nucleotides in length. Their secondary structure includes four short double-helical elements and three loops (D, anti-codon, and T loops). Lineage: Eukaryota; Metazoa; Chordata; Mammalia; Rodentia; Heteromyidae. The record is from Rfam by way of RNAcentral.